RNAcentral lists this ribosomal RNA (584 nucleotides) under Blastocystis sp. subtype 5. RNAcentral describes it as "partial small subunit ribosomal RNA". It matches the Rfam family "Eukaryotic small subunit ribosomal RNA", at positions 30 to 598 of the family's 1831-position model. The record is from RNAcentral. Lineage: Eukaryota; Bigyra; Opalinata; Blastocystidae.
UGGGGGUUUUCGUCUCAGAUUAGCCAUGCAUGUGUAAGUAUAAAUAAUUCUACUUUGAAACUGCGAAUGGCUCAUUAUAUCAGUUAUAGUUUAUUAGAAAUAAUUUUCUACUUGGAUAACCGUAGUAAUUCUAGGGCUAAUACAUGAGUAAAUCCUCGACUUUGAAGAGGUGUGUUUAUUAGUAUGAAAACCAUAUGCUUUUGCAUGAUAGUGAGUAAUAAUAACCUUUCAUAUCGCCUGUUUUUAUUACCAAUAUUUUUUUCAAUUUUCGCCCCUAUCACUUUUCAUGGGUAUGGUAUGGAACUACCAGGGAAUAACCGGGAAACAAAAAAUUGGGGUUCAAUUUCGAAAAGGAAGCCGAAAAAAUGGUACCCACUUCAAGGGAAGGCAGCAGGCCCUAAAUUUACCCAUCCUGGACAUAGGAAGGUAUGGACAAUAAUCCCCAUGGCGGAACUUUUUAUUUUUGCUGUGUUGUGAAAAUGUGUACAAGAUAUCUAUAUAAAUUUUGGGGGGCAUCUGGGGUGCCAGCCGCGCUAAUUCUCCUCUCCAAUAGCAUAUAUUAACUGUUGUGCAAUAAAGCUCUC